GAACGAACGCUGGCGGCAUGCCUAACACAUGCAAGUCGAACGAGACCUUCGGGUCUCGUGGCGCACGGGUGCGUAACGCGUGGGAACCUGCCCUUAGGUUCGGAAUAACUCCCCGAAAGGGGUGCUAAUACCGGAUAAUGUCUUCGGACCAAAGAUUUAUCGCCUUUGGAUGGGCCCGCGUUGGAUUAGCUAGUUGGUAGGGUAAAAGCCUACCAAGGCGACGAUCCAUAGCUGGUCUGAGAGGAUGAUCAGCCACACUGGGACUGAGACACGGCCCAGACUCCUACGGGAGGCAGCAGUGGGGAAUAUUGGACAAUGGGCGAAAGCCUGAUCCAGCAAUGCCGCGUGAGUGAUGAAGGCCUUAGGGUUGUAAAGCUCUUUUACCCGGGAUGAUAAUGACAGUACCGGGAGAAUAAGCGCCGGCUAACUCCGUG
RNAcentral lists this ribosomal RNA (434 nucleotides) under uncultured bacterium. RNAcentral describes it as "partial 16S ribosomal RNA". It matches the Rfam family "Bacterial small subunit ribosomal RNA", at positions 27 to 507 of the family's 1533-position model. The record is from RNAcentral.